AUUGAACGCUGGCGGCAGGCCUAACACAUGCAAGUCGAACGGUAACAGGAAGAAGCUUGCUUCUUUGCUGACGAGUGGCGGGCGGGUGAGUAAUGUCUGUGAAACUGCCUGAUGUAGUGGGAUAACUACUGGAAACGGUAGCUCAUACCGCAUAACGUCGCAAGACCAAAAAGGGGGACCUUCGGGCCUCUUGCCCUCGGAUGUGCCCAGAUGGCAUUAGCGAGUAGGUGGGGUAACGGCUCACCUAGGCGACGAUCCCUAGCUGGUCUGAGAGGAGGACCCGCCACACCUGAAAUGAGACACGGUCCAGACUCCUACGGGAGGCAGCAGUGGGGAAUAUUGCACAAUGGGCGGAAGCCUUGUGCAGCCAUGCCGCGUGGAUGAAGAAGGCCUUCGGGUUGUAAAGUACUUUCAGCUGGGAGGAAGGGAGUAAAGUUAAUACCUUUGCUCAUUGACGGUACCCGAAGAAGAAGCCCCGGCUAACUCCGUG
Molecule: ribosomal RNA, 490 nt
Filed under: uncultured bacterium
Lineage: Bacteria
Description: partial 16S ribosomal RNA
Rfam family: Bacterial small subunit ribosomal RNA
Source: RNAcentral